UUUCUCUCACAAAAAUAUUUUGUUUGCUCAUCAUCAGGCCUGCUGCCUAGGGUUUGGUUCUUUAAUUUCAACAAGAUUGUAUUGUUGUCCGCUAAUGGCUUUCCUAUUCGGAAGGGCUGGUAGGGCUUUGCUGGGAGCAUCAACAACACAAAUCAGGGGAUACUGCCAGAAAGUUUCAUCCACUGCCGAACUCGAUCGCUCAUUUCGUCGGACUAGUAUUAUGUUUGGUGCUGGGGCCGUAACGGCUUGUAAUAUCCUCUAUUUCACGGUUCACACUAAACUGAAUGAAAUCCGGGAACAGGAGCGUGAGCGUGAUAAGCAAUGGAAGUGGGACACUCGUUAUUGAAUUGUUUUUAGUAGUAUGUGUGUAUUUAUCAGCCUUUUGGUUAAGAUCCAACUGUAAUGUGUACUUAUCUAUCUAUGAAGAAGUUAAGUUGAUGUUCUACUUACAAAUUUCCUGAAGUUUAUUGGAAUGUGGAAGGAACUGAAUUUCGUUGUCAUCACAAUAUGUUUUAGUCUUGUGGUCA
Solanum tuberosum (potato) is the source of this 527-nucleotide long non-coding RNA. RefSeq lists it as uncharacterized. The transcript is spliced from 6 exons. The record is from RefSeq and is a predicted model, not a curated record. Lineage: Eukaryota; Viridiplantae; Streptophyta; Magnoliopsida; Solanales; Solanaceae.